This 2323-nucleotide long non-coding RNA is filed under the name Callithrix jacchus (white-tufted-ear marmoset). RNAcentral describes it as "lncRNA (ENSCJAG00000086786.1)". The record is from RNAcentral. Lineage: Eukaryota; Metazoa; Chordata; Mammalia; Primates; Cebidae.
UGGUCUGAGAGGCUGUUUGUUAUGAUUUCAGUUGUUUUGCAUUUGCUGAGCAGUGCUUUACUUCCAAUUAUAUGGUCAGUUUUAGAGUAGGUGUGAUGUGGUGCUGAGAAGAAUGUAUAUUCUGUGGAUUUGGGGUGGAGAGUUCUGUAAAUGUCUAUCAGGUUUGCUUGUUCCAGGUCUGAGUUCAAGCCCUGGAUAUCCUUGUUGAUUUUCUGUCUAGUUGAUCUGUCUAAUGUUGACAGUGGAGUGUUAAAGUCUUCCACUAUUAUCGUGUGGGAGUCUAAGUCUCUUUGUAAAUCGUUAAGAACUUGCCUUAUGUAUCUGGGUGCUCCUGUAUUGGGUCCAUAUAUGUUUAGGAUCGUUAGUUCUUCUUGUUGUAUCGAUCCUUUUACCAUUAUGUGAUGGUCUUCUUUGUCUUUUUUGAUGUUUGUUGCUUUAAAGUCUAUUUAAUCAGAGAUAAGAAUUGCAACUCCUGCUUUCUUUUGCUCUCCAUUUGCUUGAUCUUCCUCCAUCCCUUUAUUUUGAGCCUUUGUGUAUCCUUGCAUGUGAGAUGGGUUUCCUGGAUACAGCACACUGAUGGGUUUUGGAUUUUUAUCCAAUUUGCCAGUCUGUGUCUUUUGAUUGGUGCAUUUAGUCCAUUUACAUUUAGGGUUAAUAUUGUUAUGUGUGAAUUUGAUACUGCCAUUUUGAUGCUAAGUGGCUGUUUUGCCUGUUAGUUGUUGUAGAUUCUUCAUUAUGUUGAAGCUCUUUAGCAUUCAGUGUGAUUUUGGAGUGACGGGUACUGGUUGAUCCUUUCUAUGUGUAGUGCCUCUUUUAGGAGCUCUUGUAAAGCAGGCCUGGUGGUGACAAAAUCUCUGAGUACUUGCUUGUUCGCAAAGGAUUUUAUUUUUUCUUCACUUAUGAAGCUCAGUUUGGCUGGAUAUGAAAUUCUGGGUUGAAAGUUCUUUUCUUUAAGAAUGUUGAAUAUUGGCCCCCACUCUCUUCUGGCUUGUAGUGUUUCUGCUGAGAGAUCUGCUGUGAGUAUGAUGGGCUUCCCUUUGUGGGUGACCCGACCUUUCUCUCUGGCUGCCCUUAGUAUUCUCUCCUUUAUUUCAACCCUGUUGAAUCUGACGAUUAUGUGCCUUGGGGUUGCUCUUCUUGCGGAAUAUCUUUGUGGUGUUCUCUGUAUUUCCUGCAAUUGAGUGUUGGCCUGUCUUGCUAGGUGGGGGAAAUUUUCCCAGAUGAUGUCCUGAAGAGUAUUUUCCAGCUUGGAUUCAUUCUCUUCGUCCCCUUCUGGUACACCUAUCAAACGUAGGUUAGGUCUUUUCACAUAGUCCCACAUUUCAUGGAGACUUUGUUCAUUCCUUUUUGUGCUUUUUUCUCUGAUCUUGGUUUCUCGUUUUAUUUCAUUGAGUUGGUCUUCGACUUCAGAUAUUCUUUCUUCUGCUUGGUCAGCUCAGCUAUUGAAACUUGUGUUUGCUUCGCGAAGUUCUCGUAUUGUGUUUUUCAGCUCCUUUAAUUCAUUCAUAUUCCUCUCUAAGUUAUCCAUUCUUGUUAUCAUUUCCUCAAAUCUUUUUUCAAAUCUUUUUUCAAGGUUCUUAGUUUCUUUGCAUUGAUUUAAUACAUGAUCUUUUAGCUCACAAAAGUUUCUCAUUAUCCACCUUCUCAAGUCUAAUUCCAUCAUUUCGUCACAGUCAUUCUCCGUCCAGCUUUGUUCCCUUGCUGGUGAGGAGUUUUGGUCCUUUCUAGGAGGCGAGGUGUUCUGGUUUCGGGUGUUUUCCUCCUUUUUGCGCUGGUUUCUUUCCAUCUUUGUGGAUUUUUCCGCUGGUCGUCUGCGUAGUUGCUGACUUUUCGAUUGGGUCUCUGAGUGGACACCCAGAAUGUUGAUGAUGAAGUAUUUCUGUUGCUUGGUUUUCCUUCUACCAGUCUAGCCCCUUCGCUGUACGACUGCUGAGGUCCGCUCCAGACCCUGCUUGUCUGGGGUGCGCCUCUAGCAGCAGUGGCACAGCGAGGGAUGCUAGCAGUUUCUUUUUCUGCUAUCUUUGUCCCAGGAUGAUGCCUGCCUAAUGUCAGUCUUUUGGAUAUAGGGGGGUCAGGGAGCUGCUUGAGGAGACAGUUUGUACUUUAUAGGGGCUUAAUUGCUGAGCUGUGCACUCUGUUGUUCCUUCAGGGCUGUUAGGCUGCUAUGUUUGAUUCUGCUGCAACAGAGCUCAUUAAAAAAACCUUUUUUUUUUUUCUCAAAUGCUCUGUGUUGAGGGGUUUGGGCUUUAUUUUUGGAUGUUCGAUGAGGUGUCCUGCCCAGCUAGAAGGUAGACUAGCCACUGGCUGCCGAGGCUCCGCCCUG